This is a long non-coding RNA of Cucumis melo (muskmelon), 3035 nucleotides long. RefSeq lists it as uncharacterized. The record is from RefSeq and is a predicted model, not a curated record. NCBI's taxonomy places the organism in Eukaryota, Viridiplantae, Streptophyta, Magnoliopsida, Cucurbitales, Cucurbitaceae. The transcript has 2 exons.
CAUUUGGAGUCGUCCGGAGGCGCGAAGCGAAACGACUGUUAAGGAGUGGUAUUAUGAAAUAGCUCUCCAAAUAAGGAAGGAGAGGGGAGAAGCGAAACGACUGUAUCUAAUAGGAGUGGUAUUAUUCAAUAGCUCUCCAAAUAAGGAAGGAGAGGGUCAAAGAAUUUGAGGCGAAACGACUGUAUUAUCAUAAAAGAAGGAGUGGUAUUAUUCAAUAGCUCUCCAAAUAGUAAGGAGAGGGGAGAAGCGAAACGACUGUAUCUAAUAGGAGUGGUAUUAUUCAAUAGCUCUCAAAAUAAGGAAGGAGAGGGUCAAAGAAUUUGAGGCGAAACGACUGUAUUAUCAUAAAAGAAGGAGUGGCAUUAUGUUUAUUUUAUAUGGAUUUCUGAGUCCUCCGGACGACUCCAAAUAGAGGAGAGGGUCAAAGAAUUUGAGGCGAAACGACUUCAUUAUUGAAGGAGUGGUAUUAUUCAAUAGCUCUCAAAAUAAGGAAGGAGAGGGUCAAAGAAUUUGAGGCGAAACGACUGUAUUAUAAUAUUAAUAGGAGUGGUAUUAUGAAAUAACUCUCCAAAUAAUAAGGAGAGGGGAGAAGCGAAACGACUGUGAAGGAGCCCUUUAUUUGAAGAAAUCACUCUCCAAAUAGUAAGGUUCGAAGAAAGUCGACUGAUAAGGAGUCAAUGAACAAGGGCGAAUUCCUUAUUCUUAACAGGAGUGCAACGAAAGAAAUCCAUAUAAAGAAUAACCUACGGACGGACCCUUAAUUGAAUCCAUAUUCAUCUGAAAGGAUCAAAGCUCAUUUCAUAAAGAGAAAGCGAAAGUCCUUAUCCCUUAUUAGGAGUGCAACGAAAGAAAUACAUAUGAACCUCCGGACGAGUCAGAAAUCCAUAUUCAUCUUCAAGGUGCGAAGGUACUCGUAGUUUCAGAUAUAGGAGAGGAUCAAAGAAUUAUCGAAAGGCGAGGCGGAGUAGGCGCAAAGAAUUUUCGAGUCCUUAUCCCUAUUAAAAGAUGAAAAGGAUCAAAGCUCAUUUCAUAAAGUGAACCUCCGUCUUCUUUUUUCUAAGAUUUCGAAGGAAAAAAGCCGAGGCUCGACUGAUAAGGAGAGGAGUUGCGAAGUUUGAAAGGAAAAAAGGAUCUCUGAGAAUUUGCUUAACACAUUCAUUCCUUCCUUAUCAAUGAUCCGACUAUCCACUGAAAGUAGAAAAGGAAGACAAGAGAAUAAUCCCACGGAGCGGGGAAGUUCAAGGUUUUCAUAGAAAGGAAGAAAAAGUCAAUGGAAGUCCUGGAGCCUCCUACCCCUUGUUCAUUGAGGCCUUCUCCGCCUCCGGCUUUCUUCUUCUGAUUCUUCUGAACUUAUGAUUUUGAAAUUUCUUGUUCUUGAAUUAAUGUAAUGAAUGAAUGAAAAGAAUGGCGGCUAAGACUGCUUGGGCUAAGAAUAAGAGGAGCUUUUGGAAGGGGAUUCUGACUAUUUCCUUUCAAAAGGAUGGCUAAAAAAGGCUUUCGCCGAUGAAUCGCUAAAGGAUACCAGGAAUAAGACAAGUUUCAGACAAGGGGCGGGCAAGUAAUGGCACAGCGGGGGUAUACCCUGGGGGAUUGAACUGGGUUAGUGAGAGCUAGGGCUAAGUCGCGAGUACUUAGAUAAAGUAGUCAGUCACUAGGUGAAGCAGUAUAUUCUUUUGAUCCAAAGGCACCUCGGUACUUCCAUCCGCCAUCAACAGGCCUAAGCAGGCCUAGUAGCUUGCAUAUUCCCGUAUGAGUAGGGUGAUUUCUGACUUCCGUCUCUGAUUUCGUCCCAUUUUCAGUAGUUCCUUAGCUUAGUCAAGUAGGGAUGGGGGGCUGAUAAGCCGUAAACAAAGCAUUCUAUUCAUGAAUCCAGGGCGUACGUCAGUCAGAGAAGUCUUGGACAAGACCCCACUCCGCGGUGAGGUUUUCAUGAAAGAGAGAGAGAGAAAAAAAACAUAAGAACUCCACAACAAGAGAGAUCAUGAAAGAACAAAGAAAAAGAGAAAUCCAUGAACAAGGGCUCGACUGAAAGGAGAGGCGAGACUGAAUCAAUGAACAAAGGUUUGAGUUCAUUCUUUGACUUCGGAAACCCUUAAGGAAGAAGACGGAGAAUAAAAGGAAGAAAAAGAAAAAAGCCUAUCCUUCUAAACCUACUUAAAGCUUAAAGGAAGAGAGAAUGAAGGAAUCUGACAAGAACAUCGAUCAGUCGCUUCUCAAACUUCUUUCUUCUUUUGAUUUUCAUCAAGUAGAAAACUAUUCUGGUUUUCAUUCUCACUGAAAAAAUGAAGUAAUUCUUCAUCAUGAUAGGAUAGAUCGACGGAGAACUCAGACUAAGAGUUCUCAACUUCGUGUACCAUACAAUUAGGCUCAUAGAGGACGGACAAACUCCCCCGAUCUCGGGAACCGCUCCGUGGGGGGGGAUCGAAAGAGCCAAUUGACCAAGAAUCGGCCUCAUACGACCGAAGCAAGAAUGGCCCUCAUAGGGCAUUGAAGAAGAAAGAGAAGGGGCCUUAGCCUGAUGUACCCUUCCCCGUAUUCAAGGAUAUGGUUCUGCGGGUCAAGGUCCGUAAUGCAAUCCCCGCUCUCUAAUUAAGCUAGGACGGACCGGGAAGAAAAAUGAGUCAAAAGGGAAUAUCCAACUAGAACUAGAAAAGCUCGAACUACUAUACUAAACCGCUACCUACGGGCCGAGUCUCAUUCAUAUGCUUUUACAAUAGGCUAAGAUUACGACCCUGAAGGACCGAGUGGGCUGCCUAAUCAUACCCAAAGACCAUCUCUUUAUCAAAGAAAGAAGAGGCUCGGGAUGCGAGCCCUUGUUCAUUGAGGCGGUUGGGAAGCCUCAUCCGCUCGUCCGGAAAGGUUGAAGAAGUUUCUGCUUUUCUUGCUGCAGAAGCUGAGCCUGCUCUCGUCGUUUAGCUAGACGAACCUGAAUUGACCGCUACGUGGGCUACUUCCCUUUUUACAGGGACAACUAAGGGUACUGCCACAGGGAUGAAUAUGGAGAAAGAAAAAGCUCCAGAUGAGGCUCAAUGAAA